GUAGGGAAUAUUGCACAAUGGAGGAAACUCUGAUGCAGCGACGCCGCGUGAGUGAUGAAGGCCUUAGGGUCGUAAAGCUCUGUUGAAUGGGAAGAAAAAAAUGACGGUACCAUUCGAGGAAGGACCGGCUAACUUCGUGCCAGCAGCCGCGGUAAUACGAGGGGUCCUAGCGUUGUUCGGAAUCAUUGGGCGUAAAGGGUGUGUAGGUGGCCAUGUAAGUCAGGUGUGAAAGCCCCGGGCUCAACCCGGGAAGUGCACUUGAUACUGCGUGGCUUGAGUACCGAAGAGGGUAGUGGAAUUCCAGGUGUAGUGGUGAAAUACGUAGAUAUCUGGAGGAACACCGGUGGCGAAGGCGGCUACCUGGUCGAGUACUGACACUGAGACACGAAAGCAUGGGGAUCAAACAGGAUUAGAAACCCGAGUAGUCC
RNAcentral lists this ribosomal RNA (428 nucleotides) under uncultured bacterium. RNAcentral describes it as "bacterial SSU rRNA". It matches the Rfam family "Bacterial small subunit ribosomal RNA", at positions 354 to 796 of the family's 1533-position model. The record is from RNAcentral.